CGCAGCCUGGUCACUGGAGUUAGUGUGUUGUGUAAAGAAUGCAGACAGCUCAUUCUUCGUGAGAUCAUCCACAUUUUGGAACCCAGCUGUGAACUUCUUGGCCUGGAGGAGCUGACAUGGCUGAAGAGAUAAAGCAACUUUCUCACAGGCUGAAGGAAGAAAUACGUGUGGGGGUGGGAUUGGAAUACACCCUCCCUACUUCAUUUAUAGAUUAAAGCGAUUUCUUCUCAUGGGAAAAAGCUAGAGGAAUCUCUCCAAUGGGUAAUCACACACAGCUCGUGGCAAGUCUGACUUCCCUUCUAAAAAUCUCAGGUGACAAACUACAUCCUAAUUAAACUUUUUUAAAUAGCUAUUUCAAUUGCAGCCUAUUCAGGGUCAGUGGGAAAAUCUUAAUAGUUUAUGUAUAAGAAAACAGCCAGUCCAACUUAUGCUUCUUUGUGUGCAGAGAACAUGAAAGAAAGACAGAGCAGGCAAAAACAACCUCUUUCAAGUAGCUGCUGGAAAAUCCUUCUAGUACAGGGAAGGUUGUAAGAAUGCAGAACGAUAAAAAAAAUUAGAAACAUUCCCUUUUAAUUUGUAUUGCAUUGAUAGCAACUUGCCUAUGAGCCUGGAUGGUAGCAAAACUAAUGGACCUCACCUGCAAAAACAAGCACUCAAAUCUAGAAUUUUACUCCUUUCUGCCAAAGGUUUUUUGUUUGGUUGAUUUUUUUUAAAAUCAUUUUCUUUAAAGCAAAUUUAAACAGAAGUAAUUAAAAAGGAAAACCACACAAAAGAGCAGAAGCUGUGGAGCUGAAGAUAUGGCUUUCUUCAGACAAAUUAACUUCAAAGUACGACAAACAAAAUAAGACAAACUCUAUGGGCAUUAAAAAAAAAAAAAUGGGUAUCAAUUCCAGAACCAGAUUCACGGCAAUAAUUCCUGUUCAAUUAUACGUAGCAACAGUUUUUCAUGAGAAAUAGAAAGUUAACUUUCCCUGCAUAAUGAUUCAUGAGUAAAUUUGGGCUCGUUGGCAGGCUUGCAUUGAAGAAAGUGACUUGCACCAAAUGAGAAAAGGAUAUUUUAAGAAUGUUUGCAAGUUGUCUGUUGUACCAGAACCCAGAGCAGUUUCUGCUAGGAUGUUAUUUUUAAACUCUGUUGCAUUUGUAACAUACAGGCUAUAUGACUCAUCAAAACUUAAAAGAAAAUAAAAUCUUGUUUCUGAGUUCACUUUAAAGAUAUUGGUCUAACUUGGCAAGCAGAAGUUAUCUGAAAG
Molecule: long non-coding RNA, 1250 nt
Filed under: Gallus gallus (chicken)
Lineage: Eukaryota; Metazoa; Chordata; Aves; Galliformes; Phasianidae
Description: long non-coding RNA NONGGAT005840
Source: RNAcentral